GCCUGGAUAGCUCUGUUGAUUAGAGCAUGGUACUAAUGAUGCCAGGGUUGCAGUUUGGAUCCCUGUAUGGGGCA
Podarcis lilfordi (Lilford's wall lizard) is the source of this 74-nucleotide non-coding RNA. NCBI's taxonomy places the organism in Eukaryota, Metazoa, Chordata, Lepidosauria, Squamata, Lacertidae. The record is from the annotation of a GenBank genome assembly.